This 72-nucleotide transfer RNA is filed under the name Camelus ferus (Wild Bactrian camel). It matches the Rfam family "tRNA". Rfam says of the family: Transfer RNA (tRNA) molecules are approximately 80 nucleotides in length. Their secondary structure includes four short double-helical elements and three loops (D, anti-codon, and T loops). The record is from Rfam by way of RNAcentral. Lineage: Eukaryota; Metazoa; Chordata; Mammalia; Artiodactyla; Camelidae.
GAGGACAUAGCUCAGAUGGUAGAGCACACGCUUAGCAUGUACAAGGUCCUGGGUUCAAUCCCCAGUUCCUCC